UCUUGGUCCCAUUAGAGGAAGUAAAAGUCGUAACAAGGUCUCCGUUGGUGAACCAGCGGAGGGAUCAUUGCUGGAACACGCCUCACGGCGUACCCAGAAACCCUUUGUGAACUUAUAAGACCCAAUCGUUGCCUCGGCAAGGCUGGGGGACGUCACGUCCCUCCCGCUCUCGGGCGGAGCAGGUCUGCCGGCGGCCCUUCUAUAAACUCUUGUUUACCUUACGUAUUACUUCUGAGUUAUAAACAAAACAAAUGAAUCAAAACUUUCAACAACGGAUCUCUUGGUUCUGGCAUCGAUGAAGAACGCAGCGAAAUGCGAUAAGUAAUGUGAAUUGCAGAAUUCAGUGAAUCAUCGAAUCUUUGAACGCACAUUGCGCCCGCUGGAAUUCCGGCGGGCAUGCCUGUUCGAGCGUCAUUUCAACCCUCAAGCUCUGCUUGGUGUUGGGGCACAGCCUUUCAUAGGGCUGGCCCUGAAAUCCAGUGGCGGGCUCGCUAAGACUCCGAGCGUAGUAAUUUUCUCUUCGCUAUGGAAGGACUGGCGGUGCUCUUGCCGUAAAACCCCCCAAUUUUUUACUGGUGACCUCGGCUCAGGUAUGCAUGAAAGACCCAGAGG
Molecule: ribosomal RNA, 612 nt
Filed under: fungal endophyte sp. O7-1141
Lineage: Eukaryota; Fungi
Description: eukaryotic LSU rRNA
Rfam family: 5.8S ribosomal RNA (bases 261-414)
Source: RNAcentral